Long non-coding RNA from Tachysurus fulvidraco (yellow catfish), 244 nucleotides. RefSeq lists it as uncharacterized. Lineage: Eukaryota; Metazoa; Chordata; Actinopteri; Siluriformes; Bagridae. The transcript is spliced from 2 exons. The record is from RefSeq and is a predicted model, not a curated record.
AGAUUACACGGAGCCGCACGUACACGUCGGAUUCACCGCGUUUGGGUGUUAAUAAGCAGAAAGGGGUUCCUGUCCGGACGGCAUCUCUCACCAGUUUCUCUUCCUUCGUCAUCUGUUUCCGAGCCUCAGAUUGCGCUUUAAAGUAUUCGCUCAUCUCGAUGAAGUUACAUUUAUUCAGAUCAGAAAUCCUGGACUUCUCCUCCGAGGUCAUUUCCUGUGCAGAAAAUAAAAAAUAAAAAAAGGA